AAUUCACCAACUGCGAAAACCACAUUAACCUUAACCUUGUAUGUUGCUAAACAAUGAGAAAACCAGCACAUAGACAAGAAUUUGUUCUCUCAAAAUUGACCAGAUCAACAUCAUUUUUUCUUCAGCAGUUCUACUGAUUGCGUCUCAUUUAAAUCUACAGCAAGUAAUAUGAACACAAAAUUUUGCCUCACCAAGUAUUAUUUCAAUUCCCUUUUCUUGUUGGCUACAGUUGCAAGAAACUUAUUGCAAAACAGAAAGAAAAAAAGCAAACAUAUUAUUAAAGAAAAAAAGCAAACAUAUUAUUGAAUUGAGUGGGGAACAACAAAUAAGGCCUCCUCAUGUAGGAGUUUGGAUUUCACGAAAUAAAGACACUCUUAAUUGUUGGGAUUCCUAAUUGUGAGAUGACCAUUAAUAAUAUUCUAUAUAAUUUCUUUUUCAGCGAAUUUUGGUGUUUUACGGGAGAUUUUGGAGCUGAUAUAAUUGAAAAAACUGAAUUUGGAUGAAAAUUGGAUAGUCGUUAUCGUCGGCGGCGACUGCACCGGCGAUGGUGGUUGAGAAUAAAUGGUUAAGGCUGAUGGAGGUAUAGAUUCGCCGUCGGUGGUUGAAAAAUUUUGGGGAGAUUAACGUGGAGGACGGGGGUGAACGAUGGAGGACUCGGAGAGGGUGGUGGAUGGGGGACCGGUGGUGGACGGCUGGGUGGGGGACAGAGAGGGUAUUGGAAUGGGUUGGGG
RNAcentral lists this long non-coding RNA (731 nucleotides) under Capsicum annuum. Its description in RNAcentral is "long non-coding RNA (CANN_LNC014490)". The record is from RNAcentral. Lineage: Eukaryota; Viridiplantae; Streptophyta; Magnoliopsida; Solanales; Solanaceae.